This 1176-nucleotide ribosomal RNA is filed under the name Triticum aestivum (bread wheat). RNAcentral describes it as "partial small subunit ribosomal RNA". Lineage: Eukaryota; Viridiplantae; Streptophyta; Magnoliopsida; Poales; Poaceae. The record is from RNAcentral.
AUGGUGCCCGACGGAGGCGUGAAGGACCAGGAGGCCUCCACCUCGAGCUCGCCGUCUCCACCGGCUGCCGCGAUAACGAUGGCUGCGCGGCCGCCUAGGCCAGUGAGGUUUAAGAAGAUCGCCAGGUGGCACCCGCUGAAGUACCACCGGUUCCGCGUGUGGGCCACCAAGACGAUGGUCGACGCAUCAUCGUCCGCUUGGGCGGCAAGGGGAGCCGGGGAUGUGACCACGGCGGUGGCGACGGCGCCCAAGGAGAGUGAGCAGGAGGACGGGAAGGAGCACAUAUGCGGCGGCUGGAAGAGUGAGGAUGGAAGCUUGCAUUGCGGAUAUUCUAGCUUCAGAGGGAGAAGAGCAAGUAUGGAAGACUUCUACGACAUGAAAUCAUCUAAAAUAGAUGCUAAACAUAUAAACCUCUUUGGAGUAUUUGAUGGACAUGGUGGUUCAUGUGCCGCUGAGUAUCUCAAGGAGCACUUAUUUGAAAAUCUCUUGAAACAUCCAGCUUUCAUUAGUGAUACAAAAACAGCAAUAAGUGAGAGCUAUACGAAGACUGACUCAGAUUUCUUGGAUGCUGAAACCAAUAUUCAUAGAGAGGACGGGUCAACUGCAUCAACCGCAAUUUUGAUUGGCAACCAUCUUUAUGUGGCAAAUGUUGGUGAUUCACGGGCUGUAAUAUCGAAGGCGGGCAAAGCUAUUGCGCUCUCGGAUGAUCACAAACCAGACAGAAGUGAUGAGCGGGAACGGAUUGAGAAUGCUGGAGGAGUUGUUACAUUUAGUGGAACAUGGAGGGUAGGUGGUGUACUUGCAAUGUCUCGGUCAUUUGGAGAUCGUUUGUUGAAGCGGUUUGUUGUUGCAGAGCCUGAGAUUCAGGAACAAGAAAUAGAUGAUGAAUUGGAGUAUCUGAUUUUGGCUAGUGAUGGCCUGUGGGACGUGGUGUCAAAUGAGCACGCCGUUGCAUUUGUGAAUGACGAGAUGGGCCCUGAAGCUGCAGCCCGGAAGUUGACAGAGAUCGCUUUUGCACGUGGGAGCACCGAUAAUAUAACAUGCGAGUCCCGCUUCGUAACUUAUACACCGGGGAGUUUAAUUGGGCCGGCCCACUUGCGGUGCCAUGCGGAUGAAAAAUGGCGAAAAACGAUCGCACAAGCUGGGAAUCGAACCCACGACCACUCAAAAGAUUAA